This 875-nucleotide long non-coding RNA is filed under the name Sorghum bicolor (sorghum). RNAcentral's name for it is "long non-coding RNA (SBIC_LNC012310)". The record is from RNAcentral. Lineage: Eukaryota; Viridiplantae; Streptophyta; Magnoliopsida; Poales; Poaceae.
UAUAAUUCAGGAGUGUCAUGCCUAUAACAAAGCAUUCAUUCGCAAUUUAAAUAAGUUGGCAUACUAUCCACUCUUUACCUUAAUUUCCCAUGGGGCUUUUAGCUUCUCCAAAUUCUUGGGUGGUUGCAAGAUAGAACAGUUGUAACAGACUCACCAAUCAUUCAUCUUUUGAUAGACUAUCAAUCCGGAGGUUUUUUUAUAAGUUUUGCAAAAUAAAUGAGUUCCUUGAAUGAUUCUCUCAAUCUAUCAAUGUGUAUGAAAUCCUUACCAAAGGCAUUAUGUGAUUGCCUUUAAACCUUACCACUAAGGCUGAGAAUGGAGUUUUGGGCAUGUAUAAAGGUGGGCGUACUUACGGCACUUGUAUUGCUGAGUCAAAGCCCGGACCAUGAGGAGAUACAAAUCAUACACCUUGAUUGAGAUGUGCAAGUGUGUGGAGUAUGAGGAAUUGGUGGAAAUCCUAAUUCCAAAUAUUUUUGGUCACUCCUUUGCAUCAUGACUCUCUUUUAUUUGGUGGAUAAGAGAGAGAGGAAGAGGAAAACACAUGGGCUCUAUCUCUUAAUAAUUUUUUUUUCAUGACAAGGACUUUUUCUUUCCCGUCUAUGCCUAUUUGGCUUUUCCCUUUGGAUAUUUUUUUUCAACUAUAGCCCAUAUGUCUUGAUGAAUGGAAUUAGAGAAAUUUAAAGAGAUGUCAUGAGGACAAAAAGUAAGGAGUGAAUUUGGGGAUGCGCAAAUCUCAAGAUGAGAGUUUGGCAUUUUUAUUUGGUGGAAAGCUAAGGCACAACUCUCAGGAUAAGAGUUGGCAAAAAUUUUUGGUGGAUGGAAGGGUGCAUGUUGUGCGUGACUUCUCAGUGUAAGAGUCGGCUUUAUUUGGUGGG